RNAcentral lists this unclassified non-coding RNA (3482 nucleotides) under Hevea brasiliensis (rubber tree). The record is from RNAcentral. Lineage: Eukaryota; Viridiplantae; Streptophyta; Magnoliopsida; Malpighiales; Euphorbiaceae.
AAGUACAUGAAUAUUGGGAAGAACUUGGAAAACUCAGAUAUUAUAUAUUGAGGUCUGAAUCCAAUUACAAGCCGACUGAAUUCAUCAAGACUCAUUUAUUCCUCUUAAAUCUUGGGAUUGAUAUAACUGAAAGACAGAUUAAUUAUAGGAAAGCAAGGAACUAGCAUUUGUGCGGGCUUCAGUGAGAUGAUACUUUGUCCCUUAUGAGCAGAUAAAUUUAAUAAGAUGCUGUAGGAAAUCCUUUGUAUGGAUUGCCAAGUGCAGCCACAUUGCCAGGACGUGAAAAAACAACCUGCAUUAUGGGACAAUUUGAGAAUUUAUUAUUACUUCUGAAUGUUAAACACUACUGCAAAAUUUCAAGCUGUUUGAGCUUUCUCUAGUUCUUGAUAUUUUUUAACAACUCCUUAACUUGAGAACACAGUACAGAGGUGGAAAUACCUGAUAAUCUCCAAGUGUAUGUGUCUUAAAACCAGCUGCACAAUAAUCAAAAUAAUACUCCCAUGUUCGAAUGAAUUUUUCAUUGAAUCCCAAAGCCAGAAUUUUGCUUUGCUUCUCCAAGAAAUUUUUUCUCCAGUAUCUAAGUGUUUGAAAGUAAUGAAGUCCAAUAUUUUCCACAUGCUCCACACUUUAACAGAAAAGUGAAGUUAAUUUUGUAGACAAAGAAUAAGAAGAAAGAAUAGGGAUAUGCAGCUAUAAAAUCAAAUUAAAUUUAUACCAGAGUCUUGUUGUAGCAGCCAUUGCUGAUGUUAUCCUUGUUAAUGAUGGCAAACAUCCACCGGGAAAUAUAUAUUCCUUAAUAAAGUCUGAACUUCGCCUGUACUCUUCAUAACGUUCUUCUGGUAUUGAUAUGAACUGUAUGACAAUAAGCCCAUCUUUUGCCAGUACUGAGUCGCAACAUCCAAAGAACUCUUCCAUGUAUUCAUGGCCGACAGCUUCUAUCAUUUCACUGAAAAAGCCAUUGAAACUCGAGCUAUAUUUUAGGCAUUCUAUGGUCAGACAUAAUGUUGGAGGUGGAAGAUCUUACCAGGAUAUGAUUCUGUCAUAUUUAUAGUUUUUAGGCAACUGGCGAUAGUCAGUAAGAAGAAAUCUGAUACGGUCCUGAUACAAGAAUUUGUUAAGGUUUAAAAUGAAGUCUCUUGAAUCUUGACCAUUGAAGGAUAAUAUUUUCUUAAUGUUUCAUAUGCAAGAAUAAGCUUUAUCAUAAAUUAUCUGCCUAUUAUACAUCCCAGUGUUGCAAUUAAAAUUCAAACUAGCCCAGGCAUAAAUACUUUUAGGGCAGUUUAAGGGACAUAACAAUUGCAAAUAUUCUUCAAUUUGAUACCUGAAGGCCAGCUUCCUUCACUUUGCUUUCUGCAUACCUCAGUUGUUCCUCAGAUAGAGUGAUGCCGGUGUAUUUGCAUCCAGUCCGUUUGACAACUUCAAUAGCUAAGGCUCCCCAACCACAACCGAUCUCAAGAAUUUCAUGUUCCUUAUCGACUCUUGCUUUUUCUAUCAGAAGUGAAAUUUUUCUCAUCUGUGCAUCUUUCAAGUCUUCAUCUUCCGUCUUGAAUACAGCAGAGGAGUAUGACAUUGUUUCAUCCAAGAACAAUGCAAAAAGAUCAUUACUCAGGUCAUAAUGACAAGAGAUAUUCCUUCGAGCUUGUGUAAGAUUAUUUUGCCUCGAAACGUGCUGGAUGAAAAAUUUUGCAGAUGCAAUACUAGCAGUGAAUAACAUUGGAGUCCACCAACCCUUUUUCUUAUUCAAUCUCGAUACAGAAUUAUUAAUAUCCCUAUUGGCAAUGAGAACCAUGAAAAGAUUUAGAAGACCUGCAUCUUUAUCAACAAAGGAAAAAUCACCAUUGACAUAUGCAUCUGCAAGGCCUAAAUCAGCCUGUGCCAUUAUCUUCCAGUAAAACUGGGGACUGUGAACUUUCAGAACAACUUUCAGAGAACAUGUUUUAGCCGUUCCCUCAAAGGUAAAAAUUGUGCCUCCCUCCUCCAAUAUAGUUAAACAUCCGGCAGAGAUAAAAUGUCCAAGAAAUCUGGUAACAACAUAGCGCGCACCAAUUUCUAACAGAGAAGGUACCAUGUGCUUUGGAUUGCUUAGAAGAGCACAACUUUUUCCAAGAAAACCAUGUGCAGCAAGCAUGCCAGACUUCAGUCCAUCCUCAUGGAAACCAUAACCCUGGUACGCUCCACAAAACCAAAGUCCCCUCUUCCCUUGAAUAUUUUCAAACUCAAGUGAAGCGUUUGUUGCAGCUACAGAUGGGACUGGAUGGCUGGUUGUCCACUUAAGUAAUGUGUGGUCUGGUGUAUGAUCUGGAUUGAGCGUCACUAAAAAAGGUGGACCAGUAUCACCAAGAUUCUGAAGCACAUUCAACCAAUAUGUCAGGCAUACUUUGUUGUCAUUACUCCCUAGGAAAUUCCAUGCACACCAUGCUACUGGGUUUUGGGGCAUAAAUUUUUCAUCGCGGUGAAGGAAGAUAUCACUGUACACAUACUGGAAAGCACCGAGUAUUCUUUUUUCAUCAAAUGUUGCUUGCUCUCCUAACAUUUUCAAAGUAUCCGGGGCAUGAGAUGUUAUUAUGCAACCGUUGAACAUUUCUUCAGAACCAUCUCCACCGAAUACUCUGCAACCCUUUUCAUCGGUGGAAACCGAGAGUACCUCACAGCCAGUUCUGAUUUGACAGCCCCAGCUUUUCAGCCUUUCUCUGACCUUGUUGACAUAAGUUUGGGACCGCCAUCUGACAGUAAGCCACUGCGGGCGGCCAGUGAGCUGAAGUAAAUGGUGAUUACGGCAAAAUGAGAGUAUGGAGUAAGCUGAAAAGCUCAUAACUUUUUCUGAAUGGCAGGACCAUAUGGAACCGCACAUUGGAAUAAGAUAAGCAUUCUGAAAUACAUCAGAGUAACCCCUGGACUUGAUAAAAGCCCCCAGCGUUUCAUUUCGAUCAAUGUCAGGAUUGUUUUCGAGCAUCUCAAGAUAACUGAGGACAUCAUGCUUAAACUUGACUAGUUCUCGAAGCAUUCGCAAGAAGCGUGGAUUGACAAGAUUCUUCUUCUGUGCAAACAAAGCUGACAGGCCAUUUCUGGUACCCCAUUCAUAACCCUUGCCAUGGUCUAAACUAACUGAGAAUGACAUAUCAGACAACUCGAUAUCCACUUCAAGACUCUCAAAGAAUUCCAUCAUAUUUGGAUAUGUUACCCGAUUGAAGACCAUGAAACCCAGGUCAACGUCAACGCCAUCAAAGCUAACAGUCUUAGAAUGGCCACCAAGGUAGUCUUCUUUCUCGUACAAGACAACCUCAACUCCAGCUUGUGCAAGAACAUAAGCCGAAACAAGCCCAGUAAUCCCGGAACCAAUCACUGCAGUCCUCAUUCUUCUUCCCUCCUUCAAAAAAUGAAAAAUCCUUAAUCUUUUUUAUUAAUUUUGCAGCUAUUACAGGAAACAGAUGCCUAUCUCUUUUUACUCUCUGCGUACCCAAGAAGAAGAAGAAGAAGAAGAA